AAGAACCAAGAGACACCAAAUCAUUGAUGGAAAGGAGUGAGGCAUGGACAAGUCACAGGAGCAGAUGGAAAACGACUAGUGAUCUUGAAAGUGGCACCCACAGAAGAAAGAGAUGGGGUAGACCAAAACCAAGCUGUCACCCACACCUCAAUUUCCCCGGCAGGAUUGGGAUACACCAACCAAAGUCCAGGCAAAAUGAUGCCUAAGCCAGAGAAACAACGCCAUGAUGACGAGAGCCAAGUGUUCAUCUGCUACCAGUUCAUCAUGGAAUUUCUGUUGAGGGUCAUGAAAAACACUU
This is a long non-coding RNA of Trichosurus vulpecula (common brushtail), 298 nucleotides long. RefSeq lists it as uncharacterized. The transcript is spliced from 3 exons. The record is from RefSeq and is a predicted model, not a curated record. NCBI's taxonomy places the organism in Eukaryota, Metazoa, Chordata, Mammalia, Diprotodontia, Phalangeridae.